AUUGAACGCUGGCGGCAGGCCUAACACAUGCAAGUCGAGCGGAUGAAGGGAGCUUGCUCCUGGAUUCAGCGGCGGACGGGUGAGUAAUGCCCAGGAAUCUGCCCUGCAGUGGGGGAUAACGUCCGGAAACGGGCGCUAAUACCGCAUCCGACCUGAGGGAGAAAGUGGGGGAUCUUUGGACCUCACGCUAUCUGCUGACCCUAGGUCGGAUUAGCUAGUUGGUGGGGUAAAGGCCUACCAAGGCGACGAUCCGUAACUGGUCUGAGAGGAUGAUCAGUCACACUGGAACUGAGACACGGUCCAGACUCCUACGGGAGGCAGCAGUGGGGAAUAUUGGACAAAGGGCGAAAGCCUGACCCAGCCAUGCCGCGUGUGUGAAGAAGGUCUUCGGAUUGUAAAGCUCUUUAAGUUGGGAGGAAGAGCAGUAAGUUAAUACAUUGCUGUUUUGACGUUACCAACAGAGUAAGCACCGGCUAACUUCGUG
Molecule: ribosomal RNA, 484 nt
Filed under: uncultured bacterium
Lineage: Bacteria
Description: partial 16S ribosomal RNA
Rfam family: Bacterial small subunit ribosomal RNA
Source: RNAcentral